Molecule: unclassified non-coding RNA, 318 nt
Filed under: Hevea brasiliensis (rubber tree)
Lineage: Eukaryota; Viridiplantae; Streptophyta; Magnoliopsida; Malpighiales; Euphorbiaceae
Source: RNAcentral
GAAAUAUGUAAAUUGCAAUCACAGUCAGAAAAUAAAAUAAAAUAAACUACAACUGUUACUAAAGUUUAAAAUUCAACUGUCAAAUUACAAAAGUAAAUCCAAGACAUAAACUAAAAUUGAAAUAAAGUAAGCUAAAUAAACUGCUGCUGUUGAUGUUACUGUCAAGGGUUUGCUGCUGCUGAUGGGUCUACAGGUGGCACAAGGGUUGCUGCAUCAGGUUCUACAGGGUCUUCUUGGUGAUCCGAAGCUUCAGAGGCUGUCUCCAAGUUUUCUGUGAGGUCCUUCAUUUGUUGGAGCAUGUCUUGGCCCCAAUGAUAU